UCCAGGAAUGUGCAAGGUCAGGAGUCCAGUACGGCAGCGGCUCCCUCCCACCUUUAAAACCACUGUGUGGGAGGAGAGCCGCAGAAGGGUCCAGAAAAGAAGGAGCAAGCGAAGGGGAGGACGCGGAAGAAGGGCGCAGCAGGUGGGGCAAGGAAGGGAGGCGACCCCAGGAGGCCGAGAGGGUUUAUAGGCUCCUGGUACAGUGAAUCCAUCUUCAAGGGGCAGCACUUUGAGGCUUUUCUAGCCUUUGUAGCCAAUCUCGGAAAAGAGGAGAAGAUUUGGUCAGGGAUUAAGGCGGAAAGAUUGAUGAAGUCCAGAUAGUUGCAACAUGAGACGGGAAGAGGGACAAGGUGACUGCGGAAAAAACCAUCUCGAGUUUCUGCAGGAAAAUUAUGAAGAGUGGAAGGAAGCCUAAUCUGCCUCAGAAAUGCAAAGGCAUCUCAAGUGUCCACUAACUACGUUCCUGGGAUGAAAUGCAGAAGUAUCACAGCUCUCAUUUCACCCCCCACCACAAACACUCGCACGACUGCCGCGGAAAUUUAAAGCUCUACGCGUAAGGACGUCAAUAUUUCAAUUUAGAAUUUUACACCUGAUUAAAGACACAGCCUCCCCUCCCUUUCAGUUUGUUCCAUGUACUGGUGGGUUUUGGUAAAUAUUUCCAUCUUCUGCAUAGGGUUAUGAAUAACUUAGAGGUCAGGGAAACCCUCUCCCCGCUUUUCCCACCUUUAAUUGUUUCUCCGGCAAGACUUACUUAUUGU
Lagenorhynchus albirostris (white-beaked dolphin) is the source of this 758-nucleotide long non-coding RNA. RefSeq lists it as uncharacterized. Lineage: Eukaryota; Metazoa; Chordata; Mammalia; Artiodactyla; Delphinidae. The record is from RefSeq and is a predicted model, not a curated record. The transcript has 3 exons.